UGAAAUAAUGGCAUGUUUUUUUUUCUUCCAGCAUUGAUGUUGCUUCAGAUUGUCUUAACAUAUCCUAUAGUCUUGUGUUGUAAUAUUCCAUGAUUAUUUCUCAAAGGGAAUGUUUAUAUGAGUCAUUGUCUUUCAACAUAUUUUUCCAAAACUUUUGAUCAUUUUACUCUGUAUCAAAUUUAUAAAAGCACUUUUAUCAAAAGAAAUGUACUUUUUCUUUUCUUUUAUAUGUAUACAUACAUAUGUAUAUAUUUAAAGAUUUAUUUAUUUAUUUUAGAGAGAGUGUGCAGGGGAUGGGGGAGAGGGAGAAAGAAUCUCAAGCAGACUCCAUGCUGAGCAUGGAGCCCAUCGCGGGGCUUGAUCUCUCCACCCUGAGAUCAGGACCUGAGAUGAAACCAGGAGUCAGGCACUUGACUGACUGUACCACCCAGGCACCCCUAAGAACUCUUUUUCAAAUGUAUGUUUCUCCUGUGUCAAGAAAGACCCUUUAAUUGUCUUGGUUCUGUUGUUACUUGGUGUAUUUAAAAUAUAGAUAUAGUGAUGUAUACUUUUUUAAAUUUACUAGUUCAAAAUACCUGGACACCAUUUAGUAAAUGAACAAUUAGAUGCUUUGAAUUUUAUCAUAGAAUCUAAGAGCAUCCAAGGUAAUUUUUGUAAAUUAACAUAUAAUUUAAGUCCUAUAACCUGUUGUGAUAAGUUCUAAUUUUCUAGGACUGAUUUUCAAGAAAAUGAAGACUGCUGGAAUAUUCAACCCUGAUGAAAAUAAUUUUGGAGUAGCAUAAGGCAUGAGGGACACCUACCAGAGAUUGUGGGACAGAGAAUUCUCUCUUAAUGUUAAAGGUUUUAUUUAUUUGGCAGAGAGCACAAGCCGGGGGAAGGGCAGAGG
This is a long non-coding RNA of Mirounga angustirostris (Northern elephant seal), 886 nucleotides long. RefSeq lists it as uncharacterized. The transcript has 3 exons. The record is from RefSeq and is a predicted model, not a curated record. NCBI's taxonomy places the organism in Eukaryota, Metazoa, Chordata, Mammalia, Carnivora, Phocidae.